This 468-nucleotide ribosomal RNA is filed under the name uncultured bacterium. Its description in RNAcentral is "partial 16S ribosomal RNA". It matches the Rfam family "Bacterial small subunit ribosomal RNA", at positions 28 to 507 of the family's 1533-position model. The record is from RNAcentral.
GACGAACGCUGGCGGCGUGCUUAACACAUGCAAGUCGAACGGAAAGGCCCUGCUUUUGUGGGGUGCUCGAGUGGCGAACGGGUGAGUAACACGUGAGUAACCUGCCCUUGACUUUGGGAUAACUUCAGGAAACUGGGGUUAAUACAGGAUAGGAGCUCCUGCUGCAUGGUGUGGGUUGGAAAGUUUCGGCGGUUGGGGAUGGACUCGCGGCUUAUCAGCUUGUUGGUGGGGUGGUGGCUUACCAAGGCUUUGACGGGUAGCCGGCCUGAGAGGGUGACCGGCCACAUUGGGACUGAGGUACGGGCCAGACUCCUACGGGAGGCAGCAGUGGGGAACAUUGCACAAUGGGCGGAAGCCGGAUGCAGCAACGCCGCGUGCGGGAUGACGGCCUGCGGGUUGUAAACCGCGUUCGCCUGUGACGAAGCGUGAGUGACGGUAAUGGGUAAAGAAGCACCGGCUAACUACGUG